GACGAACGCUGGCGGCGUGCUUAACACAUGCCAGUCGAACGGAAAGGCCCUGCUUUUGUGGGGUGCUCGAGUGGCGAACGGGUGAGUAACACGUGAGUAACCUGCCCUUGACUUUGGGAUAACUUCAGGAAACUGGGGCUAAUACCGGAUAGGAGCUCCUGCUGCAUGUGGGGGGUGGGAAAGUUCCGGCGGUUGGGGAUGGACUCGCGGCUUAUCAGCUUGUUGGUGGGGUAGUGGCUUACCAAGGCUUUGACGGGUAGCCGGCCUGAGAGGGUGACCGGCCACAUUGGGACUGAGAUACGGCCCAGACUCCUACGGGAGGCAGCAGUGGGGAAUAUUGCACAAUGGGCGGAAGCCUGAUGCAGCAACGCCGCGUGCGGGAUGACGGCCUUCGGGUUGUAAACCGCUUUCGCCUGUGACGAAGCGUGAGUGACGGUAAUGGGUAAAGAAGCACCGGCUAACUACGUG
Molecule: ribosomal RNA, 468 nt
Filed under: uncultured bacterium
Lineage: Bacteria
Description: partial 16S ribosomal RNA
Rfam family: Bacterial small subunit ribosomal RNA
Source: RNAcentral